GAUGAACGCUAGCGCUAGGCUUAACACAUGCAAGUCGAGGGGCAGCACAAGGUAGCUUGCUAUCUGGGUGGCGACCGGCGCACGGGUGCGUAACGCGUAUGCAACUUGCCCUAUACAGGAGGAUAACCCGUCGAAAGACGGACUAAUACUGCGUAUGCUCACAACUUGGCAUCAAGUGGUGAGGAAAGAAAUUCGGUAUAGGAUAGGCAUGCGUCCCAUUAGCUUGUUGGUGAGGUAACGGCUCACCAAGGCAACGAUGGGUAGGGGAACUGAGAGGUUUAUCCCCCACACUGGUACUGAGACACGGACCAGACUCCUACGGGAGGCAGCAGUGAGGAAUAUUGGUCAAUGGGCGCGAGCCUGAAUCAGCCAAGUCGCGUGAAGGAUGACUGUCUUAUGGAUUGUAAACUUCUUUUAUACGGGAAUAACAAGAGUCACGUGUGACUCCCUGCAUGUACCGGAUGAAUAAGCAUCGGCUAACUCCGUG
RNAcentral lists this ribosomal RNA (487 nucleotides) under uncultured bacterium. RNAcentral describes it as "partial 16S ribosomal RNA". It matches the Rfam family "Bacterial small subunit ribosomal RNA", at positions 28 to 507 of the family's 1533-position model. The record is from RNAcentral.